GGACAGGAUCUCAAGAAAUAUGGGCACAAACUCUUUCCAGAUUCCUGAAUGUAACACGACAACAAGGAAAGAGUCAUUCUACCCGAGGACCAUCAGGGAUUGGAAUACCUUACCCUCCCCAGUUACAUCUGUCAGCAGCCUUGAAUCGUUCAAGAGGCUCCUGACAAACAAAUAAAUCAAAAGCCCUUGUUUUUAAUCCCCACUGUUAAAUAUUUGUAUAGCACCUUUUUGUUUUUGUUUGAUAUUUUAAUCAAAAUUAUUUUUGCACACACCCAAAAGUGACUGAAUAGUCAACAUGAUGACGGUGGUCACUAACUGAUAGAAGUAGAAGUAGAAAUCUCCAUCCAAGUAACAGUUUGUAAAAGUAAACCAUUAUAGGUCAAAUUACAGUCUUCAACCCAGAGCCUUGGCAAAUGCAUAGAUGCCAACCAUUACGAUUUUUCCGUAGUUUUUCCGAUUUUGCGAUAAAAACUACGCUAUUACGGUCAAAGUCGAAUAGUUACGGAUUCCCAAUCAUCGACGUUCAAUUUUGUAAAACGCGGAUUUUUAUCAUUACUUUUCCGACCUGGUCCGGAAUUUAGGAAACGCCAAUGUAAUGCUUCCGGUUUCUCGGGAGUUAUCAACCUAUUGUUGGGUAACCAACUGACUUUCGAAGAGGCAAACUUGCAUUUUAUUAAGUAGCUUUCCCCCUUUCUCUACUUCUCCUUGACAAAACGAAAAUGUUUGAGUCGAGAACAUCUGAACAAUUAAUGAAUGGAAUACAUACUACAGACAACAUGUUACAUGACAAAUUUUAGUGUACAUCACUUUGCAACCACUCGUCAGUAAUUUUUAUUGGUAAAUGCACGUUUAUGAAUGAUUACUGAAAACUUUUCAAAAAUACGGAAAAUUUGAUAGUUUGUUACUGAUUGUGUCAAAAGGGGGUUGGCAUCUAUGCAAAUG
RNAcentral lists this long non-coding RNA (942 nucleotides) under Mytilus galloprovincialis (Mediterranean mussel). The record is from RNAcentral. Lineage: Eukaryota; Metazoa; Mollusca; Bivalvia; Mytilida; Mytilidae.